Molecule: long non-coding RNA, 951 nt
Filed under: Helianthus annuus (common sunflower)
Lineage: Eukaryota; Viridiplantae; Streptophyta; Magnoliopsida; Asterales; Asteraceae
Description: sRNA HanXRQr2_Chr05g0211771
Source: RNAcentral
UUCACAUAUUUCUUCUAGAAGGAGCAGUUCAGAGAGGUUUUGCUCUCCUCCUUAACCUGCGGUGGUUUCCUGAUUUCUCGUGGAUUAACCACGUUCUCCCUCUUUAUUUUUUCUCCAUAAUCUCAGUCUCCUUCUCUCUUCAUAAAGAUCGCUCCUUUAAUUGCAUAAUAUACCCUGAGAAAACACGCAGGAGAUAUUGGCAAUAACCCUAACCCUUCCCUAUAAAUUGCAAAAUCUCAAUGCGGGCUAAUCUCUUUCAUGCAAUUGCUGAUUGGAUUUGAAUCUCAUCUUCGUUCUUAACUUCAGGUCAAACUGAUUUCUUGACCAAACGUCAACUGACAUGGAAGACUUCAUUUUGUAGCCUUAAUUUCAUGUUAAAGAAGAACAUUUGUUACCUAUUUUAUGGUUCAUGAAGAGAACUCACAUCAUAGUACUUUGGCUGUUUGUUUGAAGCCGUGAAAAUGAAGCCCUUUAAUGGAAGGUAGAUGUCGAGACCAAUGAGGUUAAUACUCAAAUGACGUUGCCACUAUGGAGCUUGGACAGUGUUUUGGAGCUUGAGUGUCAAGAGGAUAUUUAGCAUACUUCAGGACCACCCGAUUAGCAUGGAGCAGCUAGAGUUAUUUUCCGGGUCAACACUCAACCCAUUAAAAGAGAAGUCUCAGCUUAUGUUGGGUUAGAGGGGAAGGAAGUUAUGAGCAACAGUUAUCUCUAUUUUCCAGUUUACUAUUUAGACUAGACUAUCGUUGUUUUGUUCUUUGUCUUUGAAAAACUCAGUAUUUAUUUCUUGUAUUUGGAGAUUAGCCCAUCUCAAAUAGGCCUAUUAUCAGUUGUUUUAAUUUUAAUCAAGCCGAUUUCAAGUUCUUAUCAGAGUGAGAGAGUGUGUGUUUGUGUGUGUUCGUCCUGAUAACCUUAAACUACCCGUCCACCGGACGGGUAUAGAACUAGUUGUAG